UGGGGAAUAUUGCACAAUGGGCGCAAGCCUGAUGCAGCCAUGCCGCGUGUGUGAAGAAGGCCUUCGGGUUGUAAAGCACUUUCAGCGAGGAGGAAGGGUGGUGUGUUAAUAGCACAUUGCAUUGACGUUACUCGCAGAAGAAGCACCGGCUAACUCCGUGCCAGCAGCCGCGGUAAUACGGAGGGUGCAAGCGUUAAUCGGAAUUACUGGGCGUAAAGCGCACGCAGGCGGUUUGUUAAGUCAGAUGUGAAAUCCCCGCGCUUAACGUGGGAACUGCAUUUGAAACUGGCAAGCUAGAGUCUUGUAGAGGGGGGUAGAAUUCCAGGUGUAGCGGUGAAAUGCGUAGAGAUCUGGAGGAAUACCGGUGGCGAAGGCGGCCCCCUGGACAAAGACUGACACUGAGGUGCGAAAGCGUGGGGAGCAAACA
RNAcentral lists this ribosomal RNA (427 nucleotides) under uncultured bacterium. Its description in RNAcentral is "partial 16S ribosomal RNA". It matches the Rfam family "Bacterial small subunit ribosomal RNA", at positions 355 to 774 of the family's 1533-position model. The record is from RNAcentral.